UUCCCGUUUUGGGCCCUCCAGGUGUUUUGGACUUCAACUCCCACAAUGCCUUAGAGCCUCCCAUCCCUUCCUUUUCCCCCUGGUCCUGACGCUGCUAUGACUGCUUAAAUGGGCUUGCUUGUAAAAAGUUAUGCCGGUAGUCCUGAGAGUUGGAGAGGAGGUUUGAGUAUCGAGGAGGGAGGGGUGAAGAGUGGGGUUUGAAGAAGCAGCGUCGAAGAGAGGGGUUUCUAGAUGCGAUGCCACCAUGACUGCCUUAAUGGUCCUGUUUGUAAAAAACCAUGCCGGCAGUCCUGGCAGUUGGGGAGGAGGUAGGAGUACGGUGGAGGGAGGGAGGGGCGAAGAGUGGGGUUUGAAGAAGCAGCAUCAAAGAGAGGGGUUUCUACAUGCGACGACGCCAUGACUGCCUAAAUGGGCCUGCUUGUAAUAAGCCAUGCCAGCAGUCCUGGGAGUUGGAGAGGACAUAUGAGUACGGAAGAGGGAGGGAGGGAGGAGUGAAGAGUGGGGUUUGAAAAAGCAGUGGUGAAGAGAGGGGUUUCUAGAUGCGACGCCGCCAUGACUGCCUAAAUGGGCCUGGUUUGUUGUAGUAUUUGAUGUAGGACUGCCACAAUCCCAAUCCUCUCCCAUUGUCCCUAAUAGGUGGUUAGAGAUUGUGGAAGUUGUAGUUCGCCCACCCUCCUUCCCCCCCUCCCCCCCGCGCGUUCCCAUUAUUGUCCAAAUGUCCCUCACGGAUUAGUUUCAAGUUUCUGAAAGCUUGAGAUGGGGAAAGCUUUCACCCUUUUUUUCUCUGCCUCAUCAUCCUCCCUUGAGUGAAGUAAGCCGUCUGGCUCAGCGGUUGGGCUGCUUGCGCACUGCUGCCUGUAAUAUCCGUAUGUCUUCCAGGGGUGGGGGCUGGGGCCUGCUCCGUGCAUGUGCAGUUUGCUGUUUUAGGAUUUUGGGGUUUUGAGGGACAUGGACUUCGAAUUGUGUUUUCGUUUUGUCAUCUAAACGCAGCAGGGAGGACCAUGUGUUUUGUUGCCAAGUUUCAUGGUUCUGGGUUUUGUAGUUUCGCUGUUUGUAUUAAGGUAUAAAUGGAGAGAACAUUUUUAUAUAUAGAUUUGAAUCCAGCAGCUUCUACCCUUUUCCUCUUUUGUCAGAUUACUCUUUGUUGGCUUGCUCUUUUACUGUUUCUCUGAUGCUCUCUGGUUUCAGUUGUUGGAGUCACUUUUAACAUUUAGAUCACCAGCAGAGGGACCACACUCACCCCUGUGAUGAUUAAUAGCCAGGUGCUCAUCUGAUCCUCUGAUUAUCAUUGCGUGCCCACAAGAACAUCUUCAUGGUUUGAAUUCACAGACUGAAGGCAUACUAUCAUCUGACAUUCCAUCCUUAUGAUGGAAAUGCAGUAAAGAAAAAUGAGUUAUUUCUGAGUAACUUACUUUGCCAGCUUGCCAUUUGUCUGCUGCACACCUAACGGCUCUGUGGAUGUAGUUACUGUAUCAUAGGACAGUUUGGCAAGGAUACUGCUUAAUAAUGAUGAUUUACAUUUAGGUCCUUGCCUGUCUCUGAACUUCUACCCGUCCAUCUAGAAGAUAGUAGGAUGGUAAAUGGUACCCUGAGUCAGGAGUGACUUAAGAAACUGCAAGUCGCUUCUGGUGUGAGAGAAUUGGCCAUCUGAAAGGACGUUGCCCAGGGGAUGCCUGGAUGUUUUGAUGUUUUUUACCAUCCAUGUGGGAGGCUUCGCUUAUGUCCCUGCAUGGAGCUGGAGCUGACUGAGGGAGCUCAUCCAUGCUCUCCCCGGGAUUCAAACUAGCAACCUUCAGGUCAGCAACCUUCAAGUCAUCAGUUCUACUGGCAUAAGAGUUUAACCCACUGCACCACCGGGGACUCCUCACUUUGCAUGACUCUUAGCUCAAGUAUGCUAGUAGUAAACUAUGGUUCAGGUCCAAGUAUUUGGAAGAUCACAUCUCCCUGUAUGAGUCACGCCCAUUUUGCGGAGUCAGGUGUUACACAACCCCAAAUGGGGGAAAGCAUGGGAAAGAUAGACUCGACAGGGAAAGUUUGUGGGAUAGCUGGCCAUCUCAGAAGAUGGACCGUGAUGGGAGGGAACAGAUGGCCAGUGGCAAGAGACAGAGGUGCUCAACUUUGCCAUGAGGCAUGGGGAAUCCGGCAUGCUUCACACUGCCUGCAUCGCCGGGAGGGCGAUCACAUGAGGAGAAGCAUGAACGCACAGUUUCCCACAUAGAUUAUGGCAACACGGGAAGCUUCCCGUGUUGCUGUGGUAGCAGUGGUGUGCCGGUUCCACCCUCCUUCACCCUCGGAGCUGGCACAAUGUUGUCUGAUGGGAGCCGGCCAGCUCCAUUGGUGACUGGGGCAAGGUUUUAGCCCCAUAUGAUGAGGUUGUAAGACAGUUCACUCUGCUUUCCCCCAUUUCCCCCCACUCAUGGAAUGAGGUCCUCAGUCUCACUACAAUCAUGGUUGGGGGAGACUAUGGUUACCCCAUGACUCUAGAAUUCACUUUCAAGAAAGCCAAAAUAACACAUUUCAUGCUGUCCUUCUAGUGGGAGACUAAAACCUUUUUAUUCAGACAGGCUUUUUAAAUCCAAAAUGUUUUAAAGAAUGGGCUUGGGAAUGCUAUAGCCAAACAGUUUUUAAGAGCUUUUUAUUUUUAAUUAUAUUUUAAAUUUAAUAUUUUAAUGAGUUUAAUUCUAUUUCAAUAUUUACAUUUUGUAUAAACAACAACUUUUCCCUAUUUUUUAGCCAACAUGUUUUUAAGCAGUUUUUAACUGUUGUAAAUUUUACCCAUUUGUGUGUUGUUAAUCUCAAUAUUCUGCAUCCCGUGUACGUCUAUGGUGCAUUAGGGAUCUUUGGACCAUAAUAAAAUGCUGUUGUUGUUGUUUUUGUUUAUAUUUUGCAUACUUGUAUUGUGUUUUUUUCAAUUGUGAGUUGCUUUGCAUCUCAAUUGUAACAACAAUGCAUAGCAUGAUACAUUUGUAUCUAUCCUACCUGGAAUUAAAAAAUAGUAAAACAUGUAAUGAAUUCUCCUCUUACAAAUCUGACAUUGUUGUAAAAUUAUACAGAAAAGUAGGAAAUUUUGGUAGAAUGGCUAAUGUAAAUCAGAUAUUGAGGAAUAAGGAUAGCCCAUGAAAAGGUUAUUCUUCUAAUGUCAUCACACUUGACAAUAAAAAUAAUGACAUUUAUUUUCA
Anolis carolinensis (green anole) is the source of this 3179-nucleotide long non-coding RNA. RefSeq lists it as uncharacterized. The record is from RefSeq and is a predicted model, not a curated record. The transcript has 2 exons. Lineage: Eukaryota; Metazoa; Chordata; Lepidosauria; Squamata; Anolidae.